UGGCUCAGGACGAACGCUGGCGGUGUGCCUCAUACAUGCAAGUCGAACGAUAAGGUCUCUUCGGAGAUACAUAAGUGGCGGACGGGUGAGUAAUAUGUAGGAAAUCUGCCCUAGAGAGGGGGACAACAGAGGGAAACUUCUGCUAAUACCCCAUACGAGCUUGGUUGAAAUACCAAUCUUGAAAACUCCGGUGCUCUAGGAUGAGCCUGCAUCUGAUUAGCUAGUUGGUGGUGUAAUGGACCACAAAGGCGACGAUCAGUAGCUGGUUUGAGAGGAUGAUCAGCCACAAUGGGACUGAGACACGGCCCAUACUCCUACGGGAGGCAGCAGUAGGGAAUUUUGCGCAAUGGGGGAAAAACCCCUGACGCAGCAACACCGCGUGAAUGUUAAGCCCUUCGGGGUAUAAAGUUCUGUCAAUGGGGAAGAAUUAAUGACUGUACCCAUAAAGGAAGCACCGGCUAACUCCGUGCCAGCCGCCGC
This 480-nucleotide ribosomal RNA is filed under the name uncultured bacterium. Its description in RNAcentral is "bacterial SSU rRNA". It matches the Rfam family "Bacterial small subunit ribosomal RNA", at positions 20 to 518 of the family's 1533-position model. The record is from RNAcentral.